AAAAUUGUGAAGAAACAUUCCGAUAUUCGAAAAAGAACGCGAUCUUCUUAUAAUCAAUCAUGGCACGUUACUUUAGAGAAGAAGAUAUAGAUGAGUUUCGGGAAUGUUUCUACUUGUUUGCUCGAAAUGGCCAGAUUCGUACACU
Molecule: non-coding RNA, 145 nt
Organism: Nylanderia fulva
Lineage: Eukaryota; Metazoa; Arthropoda; Insecta; Hymenoptera; Formicidae
Source: RefSeq, a predicted model, not a curated record